RNAcentral lists this ribosomal RNA (478 nucleotides) under uncultured bacterium. RNAcentral describes it as "partial 16S ribosomal RNA". It matches the Rfam family "Bacterial small subunit ribosomal RNA", at positions 28 to 507 of the family's 1533-position model. The record is from RNAcentral.
GAUGAACGCUGGCGGCGUGCUUAACACAUGCAAGUCGAACGGGAAACCUUUUAUUGAAGCUUCGGCAGAUUUAGCUGGUUUCUAGUGGCGGACGGGUGAGUAACGCGUGGGUAACCUGCCUUAUACAGGGGGAUAACAACCAGAAAUGGUUGCUAAUACCGCAUAAGCGCACAGGACCGCAUGGUCCGGUGUGAAAAACUCCGGUGGUAUAAGAUGGACCCGCGUUGGAUUAGCUAGUUGGCAGGGUAACGGCCUACCAAGGCGACGAUCCAUAGCCGGCCUGAGAGGGUGAACGGCCACAUUGGGACUGAGACACGGCCCAGACUCCUACGGGAGGCAGCAGUGGGGAAUAUUGCACAAUGGGGGAAACCCUGAUGCAGCGACGCCGCGUGAAGGAAGAAGUAUCUCGGUAUGUAAACUUCUAUCAGCAGGGAAGAUAGUGACGGUACCUGACUAAGAAGACCCGGCUAACUACGUG